RNAcentral lists this long non-coding RNA (1098 nucleotides) under Gopherus agassizii (Agassiz's desert tortoise). Its description in RNAcentral is "lncRNA (ENSGAGG00000002280.1)". The record is from RNAcentral. Lineage: Eukaryota; Metazoa; Chordata; Testudines; Testudinidae.
CCCAGGGGUUCUUCCCCUCCUCCCCCCAUCCCUGAAGCAGCAGAGAGGGAGUGGGAGGUGCUUCCAACAGCCACAGAGAUGAGGAGAAAGGAGCUGGGUAGAUGGGAGUCCUCCAAGGUCAUAGAGACUGCGCUGUAUGUGGCUAGAGAGACUGAUUUCCGGUCCUGCCUCUGCUGUGUCUCAGGGACACAGUCGGAGCCGGGCUCCCAGCCCCGCCCAGAACCAGGGUCGGAUUCUCUCCCCAGGGACGGAGCCCGGCGGGAAAGUGAAGAUCGGGGCCUCGUCACCAGCACCGAUAAAUGUCACCUGUCCCCGGUCACAGUCCAGACAAACCCGGAUCCUGCUGGGGACCCGGCUCAGGGGCAGGGGGGUCACAGGGGAGGGGAGAGCCCAGAACUGACCCCCCCAGCGCCACCCCACAGCCCAGAUCCCCCCCUCAGGGCUACGGCUGAUCCCUCCCUUCCUCCUCACAGACUCUCUGGCCACCCCCACAGCCCAGACUCCCCCAUCCCCCACCUCCACCUCCCAGCAAUGUCUCCCCGAGGUGAAUCCCUCACAGCCCAGCACACAGAGCUCAGUGUCAAAUCUCUCAGGGUUGUUGGGCAGUCGCUGCCGGGUGUCUCCCCAUCUCACACUUUUCCGAUCCUCAGACAGGACGAGUUCGGGAUGAGCCGUGUCUGGAUCCAGAGUCACAUUCACUGGGGAGAGAGAAUCAGAGUGUUGGGGCAGAGCUCAGUCCUAGGGGAAGCUGGGACCAUUUCUCACACUCCCCAGCAGCCCUGUCCUGGCUGGGACACGCCUGGAUCCCAGGUUGCUGCCUCUGUCCUGGGCACCUGAGACUGAGCAGGGAUGUCACUGCAGUUCCUCAGUUUCUGUAAGGAGACCCACUUCAUUAAUUUCCCAUUUGCUUGUAUAAACUUCAGUUCCCAACCUCCCCUGUUGGUUCUGCUCCAUUCCCAGCAGGAGAUACACAGCCAGGAAGGUUUUAGUGAGGAAUGAGAAGAGCAGGCAGCUACAGUUUUGAACCCCAGAGGGCAUUUCCCUCCUCUAAUGCAGCCUCCACUCGCAGGACAGGGAACAGAGAGGAUGAUGCAGCAU